This 465-nucleotide ribosomal RNA is filed under the name uncultured bacterium. RNAcentral's name for it is "bacterial SSU rRNA". It matches the Rfam family "Bacterial small subunit ribosomal RNA", at positions 338 to 795 of the family's 1533-position model. The record is from RNAcentral.
CCUACGGGUUGCAGCAGUGGGGAAUAUUGCACAAUGGGCGCAAGCCUGAUGCAGCCAUGCCGCGUGUAUGAAGAAGGCCUUCGGGUUGUAAAGUACUUUCAGCGGGGAGGAAGGGAGUAAAGUUAAUACCUUUGCUCAUUGACGUUACCCGCAGAAGAAGCACCGGCUAACUCCGUGCCAGCAGCCGCGGUAAUACGAAGGGGGCUAGCGUUGCUCGGAAUGACUGGGCGUAAAGGGCGCGUAGGCGGUUUAUGCAGUCAGAUGUGAAAUCCCCGGGCUCAACCUGGGAACUGCAUCUGAUACUGGCAAGCUUGAGUCUCGUAGAGGGGGGUAGAACUCCAGGUGUAGCGGUGAAAUGCGUAGAGAUCUGGAGGAAUACCGGUGGCGAAGGCGGCCCCCUGGACGAAGACUGACGCUCAGGUGCGAAAGCGUGGGGAGCAAACAGGAUUAGAUACCCGCGUAGUC